This 255-nucleotide ribosomal RNA is filed under the name uncultured bacterium. Its description in RNAcentral is "partial small subunit ribosomal RNA". It matches the Rfam family "Bacterial small subunit ribosomal RNA", at positions 26 to 285 of the family's 1533-position model. The record is from RNAcentral.
AGAUUGAACGCUGGCGGCGUGCUUAACACAUGCAAGUCGAGCGGAAAGGCCCUUCGGGGUACUCGAGCGGCGAACGGGUGAGUAACACGUGAGUAAUCUGCCCCUAGCUCUGGGAUAGCUCCGGGAAAACCGGGAUUAAUACCGGAUACGACCACUUUAGACAUCUGUUGUGGUGGAAAGAAUUUUGGCUAGGGAUGAGCUCGCGGCCUAUCAGCUUGUUGGUGGGGUAGAAGCCUACCAAGGCGACGACGGGUA